GAUGAAGAACGUAGCGAAAUGCGAUAAGUAAUGUGAAUUGCAGAAUUCAGUGAAUCAUCGAAUCUUUGAACGCACAUUGCGCCCCCUGGUAUUCCGGGGGGCAUGCCUGUUCGAGCGUCAUUUCACCACUCAAGCCUCGCUUGGUAUUGGGCAACGCGGUCCGCCGCGUGCCUCAAAUCGUCCGGCUGGGUCUUCUGUCCCCUAAGCGUUGUGGAAACUAUUCGCUAAAGGGUGUUCGGGAGGCUACGCCGUAAAACAACCCCAUUUCUAAGGUUGACCUCGGAUCAGGUAGCGAUACCCGCUGAACUUAAGCAUAUCAUAAGCGGAGGA
This 330-nucleotide unclassified non-coding RNA is filed under the name soil metagenome. RNAcentral's name for it is "partial contains 5.8S ribosomal RNA, internal transcribed spacer 2, and large subunit ribosomal RNA". The stretch from base 1 to 120 matches the Rfam family "5.8S ribosomal RNA", at positions 35 to 154 of the family's 154-position model. The record is from RNAcentral.